Molecule: long non-coding RNA, 2947 nt
Organism: Mercenaria mercenaria
Lineage: Eukaryota; Metazoa; Mollusca; Bivalvia; Venerida; Veneridae
Exons: 3
Source: RefSeq, a predicted model, not a curated record
UAAUAGUUAAUGUAAAUAAAAAUGUCACGUCACAUAGUACGAUGGCACUAUACAGGGAAAACGGCUUCAAUAUAUUUUAUUUACUAGUUUAUAUAAAAGACAUUUCAGAAUCAAAUUAUAUACAUGUGUAACUGUGUUACACUUAAGUGGUACAGUCUGAAUCAAUUAUUAGGCCAAACAAACUUGUCCGAAAUCAAAUGAGACAGAAGAAGUGUUUGCUAUAUGUUAUUAUUACAUGUAAUCGCAGUAUUACUGUCAGGGCACUUGGUCUUGUGGCAGAUUCCAAUUUACACUUGGUCUUUUAUGGCACAUCUAGGUGAAUAAAUACAGGCGAUCGGGCUAUUAUUUUAGUAUCUGACAAUUGUGUCACUAGUUUAAAAAAUGUUAGUCGUCCGGGAAAUUGGCAUAAAUACUGAUAUUUAACGACAUCUAUUAAAAGUAAUUGCUUUUGACCCAGAAAAUUUACAGUUUCAUUUCCAUCACAUUCAUCCUAAACAUUACACCCAAUUAGAAAUGUUUGCACACAUUCAUUUUUUUUUGUCAAAUUGUUAUGUAAUUAUUUUGUUAAAAACUUGGCUUAUCGUAUACAGUAUAACCAAAUAUAUUAUGUCUUCUUGAAACAAACUUUAAGCCUCAUUGUUAUAUCAAUGGCAAUUCUGUACAUAUAUUUGAAAGUGGCGUUAAAUGGUUGAAUUUAAUCGUCGCACUGUAUGGCUAUUGGGCAUAGAAACCGUAAUAUUCCCUUUGAUGCUAUUUAUUAGCCAGCCUACUUACUUAGUAUACCUUUCGUUUCAGGAAGUAAACAUACAGUAAAAUCACGUUUCAGCGAGCACGUAGUACACAAACGAUUUAUUCUAAUAUUCUUAAAGUCUCGCUACAUUGCACUACUAUCUGGGUCAAGUACAUGCAGCCUGUUUGGAAAAUAGAGCAUAAAAUUAUUAUAAACAUGUUUACACUUUAUCGGGUAAAAUCAGCGAUGUAUAUUUCGAUUUCGAGGUCAGCGCUUUUAUAUUUUUAAUAAUGGAAUGGUCCGUUAUUUAGGUAUAGGUCGACCACUUUUUUUUGAGCCGUAACUGAUUUAUGCAGGACAGUUGAUCCGCCAAAAAAAGUAGGAACAUAUAUGUAAUACAUAGUAAAGCGGUAUAAGUUAUCGAUGAAUGUAAACGAAUGCAUGUCCCAAAGUAUAUGGCGUUGGCUUAACAAACUUUCUUUUCGAGGUUCGAGCCUUGGUAAGUUCACAUUUUUUUAAUCGUUUGUUUCAAUAAACAUUGCACGAGAAAAUUGUGCUGUUCAUUGAAUCGUUUAGUUAAUGAUGUGUUAGCUAGUCAAAAAUACUUGUCUGUUAAUCUUAGUUAUCGUUUAUUGGCUUCAACACGUCACAAAUAUAGUGAUGAUGCUCGUAAAAUCAUCAAAAAUGUUCAUUCAUUUUGCGUCGAGGAGAAGACAAGUAAUGGAUUGAAGAUCCAGUUGACUCGCAGUAUAGAGCUUGUUUCAACACUUACCUGUAUAAACCGUGCAACAGUGAAACGUGUUGCUGCAGAAUCGAGUGUACCUGCAUCAAAGAAGAUGGAAGAAACGAACCUUCGACGAAUUUGACAAUGGCGUUAUUCGGAUAACAGUCAGUACAAUGUAUGUUCAUCAGAAUAUUUUACCUACUCUAGAUCUGCAGAAUUUGAAAACAGCUCUUCGUAACAUCAUUGGCUAUUCUGCUGGUAAGGAAUACCUGCGUAAGCAUCUUCAGCAUCUAGGAUUUACUUACCAGCGAUGCAAGCAGAAUCGUAAGACUUUGAUGGAAUGAUCCGAUAUUAUUCUGCAGCGUAUAUCUUACCUCAGGAAGAUAAAGGCACUUGGAGAUGCGGGUCAUGCUGUUGUUUACACAGUAGCCAUUCAGUAACCAAAUGGCAGGACGAAUCAUCUGGUCUCUUUAUUCCAUUUUCAAAAGGGAGAGGAUGAUUAUCCUACAUGUAGGCUGUCACACAGGAUUCAUCGCAGGAGCAGAACUGGUAUUCAAAGCCAACAGUAGUUCCGGUGAUUACCACAUGGAAAUGAACACAAAGAACUUUACUAGAUGGCUCACGGAGAAGCUGAUACCGAAUAUACCUCCUAGUCUCUCCUAGUGAUGGAUAACGCUGCAUAUCACAACGUGCAAGUAGAUCGUUGUCGAGGAAAGCAGACAUAAAGGACAGGCUCAGAAGACACAACAUAUCUUUCUCAGACAACUAGUUGAAGUCGGAACUUAUUGCAUUCUGCAAACAACAAACAAACAAGCCUGAUCCAGUUUAUGUGGAUGACCAGUUACUAGCAACACAUGGUCACCAGGCGCUUCGACUGACUCCUUACCAGGCGGAUUUGAACCCCACUGAACUUAUUUGGGGCGUUUUAAAAGGCUACAUUGCACGUAAGAACUUGACGUUUAAGAUUGCCCAUGUGAAAGGACUUAUUACGGAAGGUUUGCAAACAGUUUCAUCUUCAGAUUAGUCUAGGUGUAUUGACCAGUUGAACAGAAAUACUGGGAGUUGGAUAUUGCUAUAGACGAUCUUCCAGCACCGGUGACCAUUGAGCUUAACUCGGAUUUAUAAAUUGAACUCUCAAACGUCAAAAUCAAACUAUAUUAGUUUUAAAAGCACAUUGCGUAGCUAUUUAGUAAGACUAGCCACCAGACUGAUAAUGAAGAAUUGGUCACAAGAUUUAAACUUUUAUUCUCUGUAAUAAUGACAAAUGUCAGUCUAUUUUAGAGUUUUUCUUGGAGAACUGUUUGUAAUAUUAUCAGUUUAGUAUCAUCCGAAAUGUUCUGGGAGAGUUGACUAUGGCUAUUAAAUUACCCCUAGAUAAUUUGGUACAUCAUGCCAGUGAUCAAGAGUUAUGAAGGUAGACAUUGAUAUGUUCAGUUAACAUUACUGGCUAGCGUCUUACAACCGGACACUUUUGUAAUAUUUUUCACGAUAAC